RNAcentral lists this ribosomal RNA (158 nucleotides) under Rhizophora samoensis. Its description in RNAcentral is "5.8S ribosomal RNA". The stretch from base 57 to 158 matches the Rfam family "5.8S ribosomal RNA", at positions 1 to 101 of the family's 154-position model. Rfam says of the family: 5.8S ribosomal RNA (5.8S rRNA) is a component of the large subunit of the eukaryotic ribosome. It is transcribed by RNA polymerase I as part of the 45S precursor that also contains 18S and 28S rRNA. Functionally, it is thought that 5.8S rRNA may be involved in ribosome translocation. The record is from RNAcentral. Lineage: Eukaryota; Viridiplantae; Streptophyta; Magnoliopsida; Malpighiales; Rhizophoraceae.
CGCCCCGGGAACGGCGCGCGGGCGGGGCGCCGCGACUGCACGAUGAGAAUCUCAAUGACUCUCGGCAACGGAUAUCUCGGCUGUCGCAUCUAUGAAGAACGUAGCGAAAUGCGAUACUUGGUGUGAAUUGCUAGAAUCCCGCGAACCAUCGAGUCUCU